Molecule: long non-coding RNA, 1771 nt
Organism: Meleagris gallopavo (turkey)
Lineage: Eukaryota; Metazoa; Chordata; Aves; Galliformes; Phasianidae
Source: Ensembl
CUUCAUAUUUACUAAUUGGCAAAAUGCAACUAUAUUUUGCUUAGACACCUGAUCCUGGCAGUAAUCUUGUUGUUUGCUGAUGAUUUAACAAGGAAUUAGAAUUCUAAACAGCUGUAAAACAUACUCAGAAAUAUUUGCCCUUGACCAAAUCACAGCUUUGAGUUUAUUUUUAAUCCCUGUAAAAGAGAUUUGAUAAACCACAGAAAUUGGCUAUGAGUUUUGCACCUGCCAUGACUUACUAUUUGAGAUUUGUCUUUCUACUGUUGUAAGAUAUCAAGUGUAUUUAUGCCAGUUUACAUAGUGCAGUCUGUUCCCUUAACUGCCUCAGUAUAAAGUACCUGUAGCUUUUAAAUUUAGUGACUUUCAGAACACUUUAAAAGAAUACAUCUUGAAAGCAGAGAGAAAAUCAACAGUGUAUUGUAUUAUUUUGAUGUAACUGGAGAAGCUGCCUGCAGACCAAGUAUCAUCAGCUGUUCCCUUUCAGUACAAAUGAAGUGAGACAACUUGUCCUUGGGAUCUUGAAAGUCUCAACUCUUUGUUUGUGUUUACAGAACAUAGUUUUCCCAUGGAAAAUAAUAAAUUGGGGAAUGAUGUCUAGUCUUACAGUAAUCUUGUGAACUUCACAGCUAUACUGGUUUUACUGCACUCUGUGAGCCCCAACCAUGCUAAUGAGCCUUAAUUUCCUAGUGUGGUCCCACCUGAGACUACCACCCCACCCCACACACCCUGCCCGUAGGACAAAAGCUCAGGGUGGAGUUCAUUUCUUUUGUUCUUGGAAGUUGAAUAGCAGAAAGGGACUUUUCAGCUUUUCCUGAUAAAGGUUACACCAAUUUCACUUAGACUACAAGACGAAGAUUUCCUGAAAAUUGAGAUCUUCAGGUAAGGACAGAACUCAUUUUUAAACAAAUGUGGACUUAAGAAAGAAAAAUAGUGCCAGCAUUAACUGAACACAGAGGGUAGUUACUGUUUGUGAUCUAGAAUUUGAAAAACUGAAGAAAAGUCACUUGAGAUGUGUUGAAAGUGAUGCAAGCUAUAGUAAACAGGCUACUUGAAAAAGACCCAGAUACACACUUAUGGAUGGUUUUACUAUUUUGAAUGCUUUGUACCUAGCAUGUCUUUUGAGGAAGGAAUGGUAAAGAACUGUCUUCGGACAGAAAAAUGGGAGUGAGCUGAAAAGGUGCUCAUGGGCAGCUCUCUGAUACCAGGUUUUAGCAAAAUGACUGGUGCAGAUUGCUUGUUGUAGUCUCUCUCUUAUGUUUUGGGGAACUUUGGUGGACUCAAACUUCAUGUUCAGGAACUGUUCUUAGUCCCCUAGGGAUUGUUGCUAAAUAAUAGCAAGUCCAGUAACUGAAGUUGUCCUUGUUUUACUGAUCUCUCCCCUGGGAUAAACAAGCAGUAGCUCUGCAGAGCGAAAAAUCAGCAGCUCUUUGUUUAUACAAUCUGUUAAAAUGCCUGCUUUGUGCAUAAGAAUUCGGGCAUUUUCAAGACAACUGUUGAAAGAUUAUUUUUUCGUUAUGGGAACAGUCCUUGUUUGCUGGAGAUGGCCAUGUAAAGUGCAUACUUACAGCUGACAUAAUACGUAAGUCUUUAUACUUUCUCACAUUUCUCACAUAAUGGGGUGGGGACUGUGCAUAUUUUUACUUCUAAUACAGACUAGUACAAUGCGAGUGAGCAGUUCAUGUAUUUAUGAGUAAGAGAAAAAUCCACUAAUACGAUAGCCAUUUGCAAAACAUAUGAAGUUAGUGUUUAAAACUUUCAGUGCAGCAUUCCA